AUGGCAGCUGAGCCAAAGCCUUUGAUUGGUUCAUCUUCAGGUCUCUCUGCUGUUCUCCAGCCUCCUGUAUCAGAUCCUGUUGAACUGGGAGGAGAUGCAACUUUGCAGUGUUCAGUACUCACAGAUACGUCUGCAGGAGAACACAGUGUGUACUGGUUCAGACAUGGAUCAGGAGAAUCUCAUCCAGGAAUCAUUUACACUCAUGGAAACAGGAGUGAUGAGUGUAAGAAAAGCUCUGAGACUGAUUCUCCUACACAGAGCUGUGUCUACAAACUCCCCAAGAGAAACCUCAGCCUCUCUGAUGCUGGAACUUACUACUGUGCUGUGCUCAUGUGUGGAGAGAUCAUCUUUGGGAACGGAACUAAACUGGACUUUGUAGAGAAUAGUGUUUUGGACCCAGCCGUUCUGGUAAAUCAGGCUGAAGAAACUGACGUCUUGAACUAUGCAGCUCUAAGCUUUGCUCAGUCUUCCUCCUCAAGAAGAAGCAGAACAAAGAACAGCAGUGAUCAGCCUGUGUACGCACAGGUAAAGACCCAUCAGUAGAAACAACAUCAGAGUUACAA
Colossoma macropomum (tambaqui) is the source of this 563-nucleotide non-coding RNA. The record is from the annotation of a RefSeq genome assembly. NCBI's taxonomy places the organism in Eukaryota, Metazoa, Chordata, Actinopteri, Characiformes, Serrasalmidae.